This is an RNA transcript of Mandrillus leucophaeus (drill), 1726 nucleotides long. It is a transcript of the gene named RRS1 ribosome biogenesis regulator homolog (S. cerevisiae), with no coding region annotated. Lineage: Eukaryota; Metazoa; Chordata; Mammalia; Primates; Cercopithecidae. The record is from RefSeq and is a predicted model, not a curated record. The transcript is spliced from 5 exons.
UUUCCGGAUUGGGCAUCCCGGCGUCUGCACGUGGUUAUGUUGCCGGAGUUUGGGCCGCCGCUGUAAGAAAAGUAACUUCAGCUGCAGCCCCAAAGCGAGUGAGCCGAGCCGGAGCCAUGGAGGGCCAGAGCGUGGAGGAGCUGCUGGCAAAGGCAGAGCAGGACGAGGCAGAGAAGUUGCAACGCAUCACGGUGCACAAGGAGCUGGAGCUGGAGUUUGACCUGGGCAACCUCCUGGCUUCGGACCGGAACCCCCCGACUGGACUGCGGUGCGCCGGACCCACGCCGGAGGCCGAGCUGCGGGCCCUGGCGCGGGACAAUACGCAAUUGCUCAUCAACCAGCUGUGGCAGCUGCCCACGGAGCGCGUGGAAGAGACGAUAGUGGCGCGGCUGCCGGAGCCCACCACACGCCUGCCGCGAGAGAAGCCUCUGCCCCGGCCGCGGCCACUUACACGCUGGCAGCAGUUCGCGCGCCUCAAGGGCAUCCGUCCCAAGAAGAAGACCAACCUGGUGUGGGACGAGGUGAGCGGCCAGUGGCGGCGGCGCUGGGGCUACCAGCGCGCCCGGGACGACACCAAGGAGUGGCUGAUUGAGGUGCCCGGCAAUGCCGACCCCUUGGAGGACCAGUUCGCCAAGCGUAUUCAGGCCAAGAAAGAACGAGUGGCCAAGAACGAGCUGAACCGGCUGCGUAACCUGGCCCGCGCGCACAAGAUGCAGCUGCCCAGCGCAGCCGGCUUGCACCCUACCGGACACCAGAGUAAGGAGGAGCUGGGCCGCGCUAUGCAGGUGGCCAAGGUCUCCACCGCCUCUGUGGGGCGCUUCCAGGAGCGCCUCCCCAAGGAGAAGGCGCCCCGGGGCUCUGGCAAGAAGAGGAAGUUUCAACCCCUUUUCGGGGACUUUGCAGCCGAGAAAAAGAACCAGUUGGAGCUGCUUCGUGUCAUGAACAGCAAGAAGCCUCAGCUGGAUGUGACAAGAGCCACCAAUAAGCAGAUGAGGGAGGAGGACCAGGAGGAGGCCGCCAAGAGGAGGAAAAUGAGCCAGAAGGGCAAGAGAAAGGGAGGCCGGCAGGGACCUGGGGGCAAGAGGAAAGGGGGGCCGCCCAGCCAGGGAGGGAAGAGGAAAGGGGGCUUGGGAGGCAAGAUGAAUUCCGGGCCGCGUGGCUUGGGUGACAAGAGAAAAGGAGGACAGCGCCCAGGAGGAAAGAGGAGGAAGUAAUAGUUUCUCACCGUCGGACCCGACUGAAAACCAAGGACUAUAAAUACUAAGUGUUAAGUUCUAGGUACUUGUACGGGGACUCAGAAGGACCUGGCCGCUGCCUUCAUUGAGUUUAAAGGGACAGGAUUGCCCUUCCCUCAAGAGAGUAUCCCCUGGACUUUCACCUUCUGGGAAAACAACAGAUUAUGCCUUUGAGAUGGCUGUUUCCAAUAUUAGAUAUGGGGCAGGAGUUACAAACGAAGUGGGAAUGGACCUACAAAACAUGGGUGCUAAAAAUGUGUGCUUGAUGACAGACAAGAACCUUUCCCAGCUCCCUCCUGUGCAAGUAGCUAUGGAUUCCCUAGUGAAGAAUGGCAUCCCCUUUACGGUUUAUGAUAAUGUGAGAGUGGAACCAACGGAUGCAAGCUUCAUGGAAGCUAUUGAGUUUGCCCAAAAGGGAGCUUUUGAUGCCUAUGUUGCUGUCGGUGGCGGCUCUACCAUGGACACCUGUAAGGCUGCUAAUCUGUAUGCAU